Molecule: ribosomal RNA, 253 nt
Filed under: uncultured bacterium
Lineage: Bacteria
Description: partial 16S ribosomal RNA
Rfam family: Bacterial small subunit ribosomal RNA
Source: RNAcentral
UACGGAGGGUGCGAGCGUUGACCGGAAUCACUGGGCGUAAAGCGCGCGUAGGUGGCCCGUUAAGUGGCUGGUGAAAUCCCGGGGCUCAACUCCGGGGCUGCCGGUCAGACUGGCGAGCUAGAGCACGGUAGGGGCAGAUGGAAUUCCCGGUGUAGCGGUGGAAUGCGUAGAUAUCGGGAAGAAUACCAGUGGCGAAGGCGUUCUGCUGGGCCGUUGCUGACACUGAGGCGCGACAGCGUGGGGAGCAAACAGG